RNAcentral lists this ribosomal RNA (460 nucleotides) under uncultured bacterium. RNAcentral describes it as "partial 16S ribosomal RNA". It matches the Rfam family "Bacterial small subunit ribosomal RNA", at positions 338 to 795 of the family's 1533-position model. The record is from RNAcentral.
CCUACGGGUGACAGCAGUGAGGAAUAUUGGUCAAUGGCCGGGAGGCUGAACCAGCCAAGUCGCGUGAGGGAAGACGGCCCUACGGGUUGUAAACCUCUUUUGUCAGGGAGCAAGGUGCAGGUCGGGACCUGCUGUGAGAGUACCUGAAGAAAAAGCAUCGGCUAACUCCGUGCCAGCAGCCGCGGUAAUACGGAGGAUGCGAGCGUUAUCCGGAUUUAUUGGGUUUAAAGGGUGCGCAGGCGGAGGCACAAGUCAGCGGUAAAAUCGCGGGGCUCAACCGUAAAAUUGCAAUUGAUACUGGCAGUCUUGAGUACAGUUGAGGUAGGCGGAAUUCGUGGUGUAGCGGUGAAAUGCUUAGAUAUCACGAAGAACCCCGAUUGCGAAGGCAGCUUACUAAACUGUGACUGACAUUGAUGCUCGAAAGUGUGGGUAUCAAACAGGAUUAGAUACCCGAGUAGUC